AGAGAGGGGAAACAGGAGUGAGGAGUGGUGAGGUCAGCAGUGCCACUUGCCAGAAAAAUUUGAAGGGGAUUCGGCGUGUUCUUGGAGCCAAAAGCUUUAGAACAAAACCAUGGUCUUCAGUUUAGAUCACAAAAUGUUCUGACUGUAGAAAUUCUGUAUUGGUUCAUUCUUCCUGUCAUUUCACUCAGAACUUUUGUGUUUAUUGAUGUCCCAGUAGAAGUGUUGCUGGAGCAUUCCAACUCCUUUUUCCUUCUGCUGCAGCAUUUCUCUUGCAGAUCUGUCACCAGAGCAGUAAAAAGAACUUGGAAAUACUGAUCAACAAGGACUUUUCUUGCUAAUGCACAUUCAGAUUAAAGCCAUGUCUGUCUUUUCGGUGGAAGAAGUUUAUGUAGUAGGGAGCCCUCUAGGUCUUCAGCUAGAAGAAUGAACUUUGUGUGUAAAAAGCCGCUGAUUUCAUUUCCUGYCUCAAGAUCAUAAGGGAAUAGAAGUGUUCUGGCCUUCAUGUGUGAUUUUUGCCUGUCAGUGGCUCCAAAAUGAAUAGGUAGAAAAAUACUAUUUACCUAUGCAGACAUCGCAAAUAAUUCAGCUGUAUAUAACAUAUAUUUUUCUUUCUAGGAAUAGCUUAAUAGCUUAGAGUCCAGAGAUGUCACUUGAUAGAACUAAACACAGUAGACCUUGAAGUGAAAACCAACAUGAGGGCUAUUCAUGGAAGAACCUUUGCUUUGCAGAACGGAAGUUUUGGAAAAAUACCUCCCCUACUGGAAGCAUUUUGCCCCCAAGACCUUUUCCCUCAAUUUAAUUAAAUUAUUAAAAUAUUAACUAAAUAAAAGGAGGGGAGCAGCAUACAAAUGGGUGCCUGCUGCUUUCUUUUGAUGUGUACUCAGGUGCACUGAAAGCUGACAUGCAACAUUAUGAACAUGUAAGAUCUUGCAGCUUUCCAUUUGGUGUUUUAUAACUGUGCAUGUCAUAUGAGUGCAAGGAAAUAGAGCAAAUACAAAAGCACUCCUAAGUGUCGCUCAGGCAUCAUGAUGCUCCCAAAGCAUCAGCUGCUAAAAACUGUAGGUUGAGCCUAUAAGAAAAGAUACGUUGGGCUUUACAUGAAGAUGUAGGACAUAAAGUUGGAAAURCUUUUAAGAUAACUUUCCUUACAGAGGCAGUCUUUCAUUCAAUAUUAAUUUGAUGUUUCUCCUCAAAUUACUUGAAUUUAAUGUUUUGUUCAGCAGUGGAAAUUCAUUUGCCUAACCCCUAUCUGAAUAACUCUUGCUUCCUUCCACCCCUGAUUCUCCCCAUGUCAGUGUUGAUGCUGUGGUGAAUAAGAACAGAGGCUGUACAGCAAAUCAGGUGUUUCUUGCCCAACGACUUUCUGUUGGAGGCUUCUCUUAGCUCAACAUGACUUUCGGUAGUAUAGUUGAUGGGAAACUAAUGUUUUUUUUUCUAAAGGAGACUUUAAAUUUUAAGCGAUGAGAUACCAAGCUUUUCAAUUUUAAUGAUGCCAACCAGUGUCCAGAGUGGGAGUCACUUGGGAAGAUGUUUUUCUAGAGGCCCGAGGUAGCACUUGGUAGAAGGGCUACCUGCAGGUUCUGCAGGAGAGCUUUUACCUUUCUCUUGUACAUGAUGAGAGAAGCUGACAACAGAAGAACAAUGGAUACAAAAUAUAACAUUUUGCUAUCUUAAGUGUGGUGUGUGUAUAUAUACAGAUAUUUCUGUUUCUCGUUGUACAGAAGUGCAAAGGGUCAGCAUUAUUUUGAGUGUUGUUAUUAGCAAGGGAAAAGAAAUAAGUCUAACACAAGAACUUGCUCCUUUCUCUACCCCCUUGCUGUUUCUAGUGGAAAGAGUUCCCUAUUUUGUUUCCUUUUGAAUCCUUGGCUAUGAAUUUGUCCCUGAAGCUUUGUGUGUGCAGAGGAGUAAAUCGGAGCCGUUUGUUGCAAUGGCAAAUGAUGAAGAUGCAGUUUUGUGCAUAGGAGUGGUCUCUUCCUGCAUCUCCAAAUUAUUUGUACUUGUAUUUUCUUGUAAGCUAAUAUAACCAUAUUA
Molecule: long non-coding RNA, 2031 nt
Organism: Nothoprocta perdicaria
Lineage: Eukaryota; Metazoa; Chordata; Aves; Tinamiformes; Tinamidae
Exons: 2
Source: RefSeq, a predicted model, not a curated record